Molecule: ribosomal RNA, 254 nt
Filed under: uncultured bacterium
Lineage: Bacteria
Description: partial 16S ribosomal RNA
Rfam family: Bacterial small subunit ribosomal RNA
Source: RNAcentral
CACGUAGGGCGCAAGCGUUGUCCGGAAUUAUUGGGCGUAAAGAGCUCGUAGGCGGUUUGUCACGUCGGCUGUGAAAACCCGAGGCUCAACCUCGGGCCUGCAGUCGAUACGGGCAGACUAGAGUGCUGUAGGGGGAGACUGGAAUUCCUGGUGUAGCGGUGAAAUGCGCAGAUAUCAGGAGGAACACCGGUGGCGAAGGCGGGCCUCUGGGCAGUAACUGACGCUGAGGAGCGAAAGCGUGGGGAGCAAACAGG